GAUGAACGCUGGCGGCGUGCUUAACACAUGCAAGUCGAACGAAGCAUUUGCGACAGAUUUUUUCGGAAUGAAGUUGCUUAUGACUGAGUGGCGGACGGGUGAGUAACGCGUGGGUAACCUGCCUUGUACUGGGGGAUAGCAACUGGAAACGGCUGGUAAUACCGCAUAAGCGCACAAUGUUGCAUGACAUGGUGUGAAAAACUCCGGUGGUAUAAGAUGGACCCGCGUCUGAUUAGCUAGUUGGUGAGAUAACAGCCCACCAAGGCGACGAUCAGUAGCCGACCUGAGAGGGUGACCGGCCACAUUGGGACUGAGACACGGCCCAGACUCCUACGGGAGGCAGCAGUGGGGAAUAUUGCACAAUGGAGGAAACUCUGAUGCAGCGACGCCGCGUGAGUGAAGAAGUAAUUCGUUAUGUAAAGCUCUAUCAGCAGGGAAGAUAGUGACGGUACCUGACUAAGAAGCUCCGGCUAAAUACGUG
RNAcentral lists this ribosomal RNA (481 nucleotides) under uncultured bacterium. RNAcentral describes it as "partial 16S ribosomal RNA". It matches the Rfam family "Bacterial small subunit ribosomal RNA", at positions 28 to 507 of the family's 1533-position model. The record is from RNAcentral.